RNAcentral lists this ribosomal RNA (433 nucleotides) under uncultured bacterium. Its description in RNAcentral is "partial 16S ribosomal RNA". It matches the Rfam family "Bacterial small subunit ribosomal RNA", at positions 29 to 507 of the family's 1533-position model. The record is from RNAcentral.
AACGAACGCUGGCGGCAUGCCUAACACAUGCAAGUCGAACGAGACCUUCGGGUCUAGUGGCGCACGGGUGCGUAACGCGUGGGAACCUGCCCUUAGGUUCGGAAUAACUCCCCGAAAGGGGUGCUAAUACCGGAUCAUGUCUUCGGACCAAAGAUUUAUCGCCUUUGGAUGGGCCCGCGUUGGAUUAGCUAGUUGGUAGGGUAAAAGCGUACCAAGGCGACGAUCCAUAGCUGGUCUGAGAGGAUGAUCAGCCACACUGGGACUGAGACACGGCCCAGACUCCUACGGGAGGCAGCAGUGGGUAAUAUUGGACAAUGGGCGAAAGCCUGAUCCACCAAUGCCGCGUGAGCGAUGAAGGCCUUAGGGUUGUAAAGCUCUUUUACCCGGGAUGAUAAUGACAGUACCGGGAGAAUAAGCUCCGGCUAACUCCGUG